Molecule: long non-coding RNA, 7825 nt
Organism: Ctenopharyngodon idella (grass carp)
Lineage: Eukaryota; Metazoa; Chordata; Actinopteri; Cypriniformes; Xenocyprididae
Exons: 2
Source: RefSeq, a predicted model, not a curated record
GUGUUGUGGCUGAUUUAGUGAUUUUAUUUGACAGAUUUAAUUGUCAGUAAGUGUCCACAAAGUCAUCAAAUCUCAUGCCAUUUAGAUUAAGACAACUUUUUUUUAAAACUAGCAUAUGGGUUAAUGUUGCAUGGUAGUGGUCCACAGCUUUUACUUGCUCAACCGUUGCGGUCUCUCAGUCGUAUAAUGCUUGUCAAUGGUAACUCCAUCUAUAAGAGUAAAAAAAAACACGCACAGACAAAUCCAAAUUAAACCCUGCGGCUCGUGACGACACAUUGAUGUCCUAAGACACGAAACGAUCGGUUUGUGCGAGAAAUCGAACAGUAUUUAUAUCAUUUUUCACCUCUAAAACACCACUAUGUUCAACUGCCUUGCGCAUCCGGUAGGUGAGGUCUCAAAACGCGUUGUGAUGACGGAAGUGAUGUCUCGCGCUUAUACUUCAAUGAGUGUGAGACAUCACUUCCGUUGUGUCGGAAACGUAACGCUCCUUACCAUAAUCGCAAGCUUUGCUUUUGAUGCCACACAAUGCUCUCAUCAAGGGCGAAUUGCAAACUGCAUUUUUACACCCUUGAAGGGCCCUUCGAAAAAGGGAACCCAUUUGUAGGGGAGUUCCAAAUGAAAGUGAACACCUGAAUACCUUCAUGAGGGCCCUUCCACAAGUCAGUUAGCAAAGGGUACAUACAAUGGUCACUUCAAGGAAUUAAUUUUAUCGUUUAUGGUCAUGUGACCUGAAUGGCGAGUCUUCCUGAUGCAUGCUACAUUCACGCCAUGUCAUAAUUACCACAAAUACAGCUCUUUCUUUGCUUUUGAAUCACUCUCAUGGUACAUUGAUGUCAUACACCGAUAAGCCUGCACAGCGCCGCUUCAAGUUGAACACACCUUAAAUCUGCAGUGGUCAGGUGGUACAGUGGUACAAGUAGUUCUCAGAAAGUCAAAAAGUUCUACGAAAAAGUUCUACAAGCAUGUGAAUGCUUUUUACUGCCCUUCAGAGUGAGUAGGGCAUAGGGAUGCUCACUUCUGAUUGGAAUUUGAAGGCAAAUGUCAGCUGUUAAGUGAAAGAAUGCCAGUGGGUGGGGCCUAUGUUGCGAUGAUGAUGUAUAACUAGGUGUGUUCGACAUCGGCUAUGGUUGGAUCAGGAUUGCCAGGUUUUCACAACAAAACCCGUCCAAUUGCUACUAAAAACUAGCCCAAAACUAGCUCGAUUGUGUUCCAGGGGGUAAAAUCUGCUUUUUUGGCAGGGUUCCCCUGGUAAAAUUUGCAUUCCAGGGGCUAAAUAUCAUGUUAUUUGGGGUCGCUUCAACCCGCAGACAUGAAAAACAACCUGAGGCAACAGUGUAAAAGUAGACCAAUUCUGCGGGAAAACCAUUGGCAACACUGAGCUAGAUGCAUCUGAUCGGCGAGAGCCGCAUGCAGGUGGGGAGGAGCUGAAAACGGAGAAGCGAAGUCGGACACUUUCUGCUUCCCGUAGUGACGCUCGUGCUCCGUUUGCAUACUUUACCACAGCUGAAGUGAAAUAAAUGCAAUAUUUGACUAAUACACAGAUAUUUCAGAGACAUUUUAAUUCAAUACUUUAUGUACUGCUUACAGCGUCUGUUUUUAUAAGAAUAAAGUUCAACAUAAGCAUAUAAUAUUUAAACAUCAAUGUAGUGGGGUCUACGUUUUUUUAUCAGUUUUAUUAUCUAAACAUGACACAAUAUAAAAUCAUGACUACAUGAAAAGAGCUUUAACUGUUAUAAAAAUACAGAUUUUUGAGCAUUAGUGGAACUGAAGUUUUCAGAAUAAACACGAAACACACGUGAUUGUUGUCAUGCGGUGAAUUCGGCCAAUCGUGGAACAGCUGUGUUGUCAUUAGAGCUUGUGCAGCCGCUCUUGAGAAACUGCGCUGGCUGACUCAGCGCUGCCGAAUCGCUCUUGCGGUACUUUGAAGCCAUACUUUGAAGCGCUGUCUCAAGUCGGACAAAAUUUCUUACCGGCAUGCACUGCUUCAAGCCAGCUGCCUGAUCGGUCUGUGCAGUGCUGCAUGAAGUCAAACAAGCCUAAUGUUUGUCGAUGUCUUGCUCUAGAGGCAGGCAUAUGCAAAUGUAUUUGCCCAUGUGAUGUCACAGGUCACCCAACAUCAGAAUGGACUGUUUUUCAAAAAAAUGCUGUUUAUAAUGAGGAGGACAUUUUAAGUUAUGAAAUUUUCAGAAUGUUUUAAUGGUACAAAGACCUCUUAGAUCAAGGCAAAUUUAAGAUCCAGAGGAUCUUAUAGAUGCCCAUAUUCAAUAUCUCACUUGGUUAGGCACUGAUCACCUCAGAGAGGCUUUAGUUAAUCCAUGCUCUGAGUGUAGUUCCGUCCUUGGAGGUGAGACAGCAUUGACUCGUUAAAUUGGAUCCUGAAUUUCAAAUUCCUGCUCCACCAACUAAGAUGACAAUGCAAGUGGGUAGCAAGCAAUUGGCCAGUAGAGAUGAAAAGCCUUCGAAGAGGAAGCAAACCCCCUCGGUUACAUUGGCCUAUCAAGUAGCUGAGCUGGCAAGCACAGUUCAUGACAUUCAAGUCUUAUUAUCAAUGCCACCUACUCAUUGGAAUUUGAGCGAGAGGACAAGGGCAUGUGUGUCGGCCUCUCCUUUGCCCAGGUGUGAGCUGGCAUCUAGUUUUUCUAGAUAUGAACCAGACACCUUGUCUCUUGCGGCUUCUGACUCAUUAGAUAAGGAUGAGCAGGACUAUUAUACACACUUGGAUGAAGCAUCUUCACAUUGCCAGUCUCAAUGUUCCCAUAGUGAUAAUGGUUCGAGCCUUAAGGGUACUGCUGCUUCAGUGGUAUUUUCACUGCAGGAUACCCUCACGAUGGUGUUUGCUAAAUUGAAUUUAGACCCACCUCCUCCUGUGUUGGGCCAUUCAAACCUCUUGCAUCGCCAAGUCUCUCAGCAAAAGGAUUUAUUAAUGCCUAGCUGUCCUGACUUUACAAAGGUUGUUUUUUAAGCAUUUUGGUCAGCUCUCAUCCAGACUGGAUCAUGUGGCCUGGCAAUGGCUGAGGUAACAUGCCCUUGGUAACAUGCCUCCAGUGGAGCUGUGCAUUUCUUCCCUGGCGGUAUUGACAGAUGAAUCUCUUAGAGAGGAUCUUCCGUGCCCCGGUCCAGAUCAUUCCCAGCACUUUAAGCACAGUGUAAGUUAUUACGGGCCAUCCACACAUCGAAUGCCUGUUUGUCACAUAACCCAACUCCAACACCUGCAAGGACAGUCUCACAGGCAUCUUGUGCUUGCUUUAGACCACCUACCCCCUAAGGAUAAUGAAAUCGCUCUCUGUUGUCACUAAUGGUACAGGGUCUGUGAUGGGUCACUUUCCAACCUCUAAACUACAGCUUUGGAGAGGGAUUACGAACAACAAGUGGCUCAUUGACACACUUGAGAUGAGCUACUGUCUUCAGUUCCACCACAGACCCCCAUUAUGCACACAUACUUGACCCACAGUGGUUCGUCAAGCUCUCGCUAUAUCUUUGGAGGUCUUGAAGCAACUGGAGAAGGGUGUGAUAGAGCUAGUAAACCCCCAAAUCCAUCCUGGGGGAUUUCAUUCAAAAUACUUCAUAAAAAAUACUUGUUUGCAAGAAAGAUGGAAGUUUCAGGCCCAUCCUGGACCUCAGAUGCCUAAACAGGAGUCUCAAACACAUUCCUUUCUGCAUGCUGCCUGUCAUAGAUGUCUUGCUGUCAAAAGCUAUCAAACCGUGCAAGUGGUUUACUUUUGUGAAUCUGAAGGAUGCAUAUUUCCACAUCACUAUUGCACCUCAUCACAGAAGAUUUCUUCUGUUUAAGUUCCAGGGCAGGACAUACCAAUAUCGAGUUCUACCAUUUGGCCUCUCCCUCUACACCUGUGUUUUCACACAAUGUAUUUAAGUGGCAGUAGAACCUCUACAGUGGGAGGGCAUGUUGAUUCUCCCGUACCUGGAUGACUGGUUGCUUUGUGCCAGGUCACCUCAACAGGCUGCCAGCAACACACAGUGCCUACUAGAGCAUGUCACUGCCUUAGGACUGAAGGUAAACCUACAGAAAAGCUGUCUUACUACGUGCCAGUCAAUACACUUCCUGGGAUUGCAUCUUGACUCUUAAGCAAUGAGGGCCACCCUCACAGCAUGCAGGAGGCAGGCUAUACGGGGAGCCAUAGUGAAGUUCCAGUAUCAAUGCAAGCUACCUGAUUUCAGUUUCCUAUGGCACCGUAAGACACUUCAGACAGGAGUAAUCAGGGAGGCACAUUCUGGUGUGGACAGAAAAUACCAUGGUGGUGUUCUUAAUCAACCGCCAAGGGGCUAUCUUGCCUUCAACUUUCACAAGUGUUGCUGUUGUGGGCGAACAAGCACUUUCUGUCUAUCAGAGCGGCACACAUUCCCGGUCACUGCAACAGCAUUGCAGAUUCACUCUCUCGUUCAGGUCCAAAGCCAGGGGAGUAGUGUCUGCACAGAGCAAUCAUUCAGUCAAUUUGGGGAAUUUAUGGGACUGCAGCAGUGGACCUCUUUGCCAGCAGAGGGACAACGCAUUGUCCACUGUGGUUCACAGUGCAGGAGGAGCAAGGAUCAUAAGGCCAGGAUGCCCUGGCUCACAACUGGCCAGAUCUCCUCCUCUAUGCCUUCCCUCCCAUUCUAUUUCUUUGGCCUGUCCUGAGGCAUGUGCAGGAGAAACUCCAAAGACUCAUUUUAGUGGCUCCCUGCUGGCCAGCAAGUUUAAUCUGCUGUUGUGACUGGUCCACUGCAACCAUUGCCAGGUCGGAGGGACCUGUUAUUGCAAAGUUGGUGCGAAUAGAUUUGUGGGGGCUUUUUUAAAGGUAGCAGUAUGUCUUAAUCCACCAGUAUGUGUAGUGCAUACCCAGUGGGAUCUGUAGGUGGUGCUUAACACUUAGCACCUUAUUAGCGACUUGAACAAGGAGAUAUUAAGAGUCUUUCACGAGUUCACACUUACAUAUAAUUAGAGUAAAGGUUAGACAUAUUUGGCGUGCUGUCUGGGGGGAUGAGGGCUCUGAGCUCGGAAUUUUGGCCCGAACACAGAGUACUCCCCCUGGUUGUGAUAAGAAUAGUUAGAACUAGAGGUGAGGAGAUUGGGUGGUGGAGGGAUGCUGACAAACUGUCAACGAACAGAGGUAAGUCUGCUGUAUAUAUGUAACAGAGUUUAAAUAAUGGUUGUUAAAUUCAGCUUAAAUUGGAAAAACUCGCCAUUGGCUGUUGUGUUGCUCGCGUUUGUGCACGUGAUAUUGCGGGGCGGAGCUAUGUAAUCAGCAGAGUCUCAUAGCUCGUCCUGCUGGUAAGUCGCAUCAUUAUUUGCUCUGUCUUAAGCCCGGGAUACACUGCAUGAUUUUUGGCUGUCCCAGACGAAAGAUUGCCAUUGUGAAACAAUCGUGGCGAUUUCUGUGAUCGUGGCUCUUAAUCGGUGGUCCUAUGUCGUACAGUGAGAGAGGUCCAAAGAUGUCUGUUUUCCCGGUCUUGCGACCAAAGAUAGCCUACGAUAGUUUUCUGACAGUGUCAGAAAUUCAGCAUGAUCAACGCAGUGUGUUUGCUGCUACGACCUACGUAUACUGACCAGCCAAUGAAAAUGCGACAUGAAAUCAACGCGACAUGGCGCUAAAACUUAAAACUGCUUACCUCAAGCUCUUUUCCCUUCUUCUUUCACCACUUCCUUUUUAUUUUCAGCACACAUAAAAACUACAACUGCCAAAAGUGUGAUUCAACAUAGUGUUUUGUUUACCAGUAGCGCAUGCUGAUGACGUUUUAUUCUUCUAUAGAAACUUGCAUCGUAGCCUACGAGUCAAUAGGUGUCAUGAUCGUACAGUCUACAUGCAUGUCGCACAGUGUGAUAAAGUAAUGAUCUUAUAGGAUUACUAAAAUCGUGCAGUGUAUCCAGGGCUUUAAUAACUAAGUUUGGGUCGUUUUCAAGCCCAAGUUUGAACUUUAAACUACACAAAAGUCUACUUAUUUUGUCUGUCAGCUCCUAGUUGUGUUAGUCGAGUCAAAUGUGUUAUUUGUGACGAUAAGAUGAAGAGUGUGUUAAUGGUGUUUAUUUCAUUUAAGACUUCUCAUGCAACAUCGAUGCACUGCAUUCUAAUCAGCCUUUUGGUGCUGUUUGUCCCAGUUGUGUCUUGUCCCAGGCCCAGUAAAGCAACUUUGAGUGACCAUCCACCUGAUCUCAGCCUGAAUUAUUCCAUUCAACACACACAGUCACAUAUAUACCUCUUAUCAUUAAUUGAGUUGAUUAACUGAAUUUUCUCUUGGCUAUAACAUCAACCAAAAAAGUAGUGGAGCUACAUGCGCUCUCUGUGAGCCUACAAUGUCUCAGAAGGGGAACUCAGUAUAAUCAGGUUUCACUUUGGCCGAGUCCAGCUUUCCAACCUAAAGUGUUGUCUAAUUGGUGUGUAAACCAACCUAUUCAGCUUAAGACGCUCAAUCAUGAAGAGGCUUCCCAGGCAGCUCUGUGUCCAGUGAGAGCAUUGUGUGUGUUAAAAACUGCUUCAUGGUGCACCACUGAUCAGUUGUUUGGUUUGGUGCCUGUCGGAAAGGCACACCCUUGUCGAAACAAAGACUUGUACCAUUGUACAUGGAUAUGGUUUGGCAGGUCAGACAGUUCCAGCAUCCAUUUGACUCGGGCGGUGGCUACUUCUUGAGCAGUACUAUGUACCUCUCUCUGAGAUAUGUGCUGCGGCCACAUGGACAUCACCUUCAAAAGAUUUUACAGAUUCAAUGUGGCCCUUAUUCCUUUGGUCAGUUCUGCUGUACUGUCGGACAGUAUUUAGGUUGGUGUAGUUCUCGUGACUUGGUUAUAUUCCUCUUCCACUACAUUCAACCAUCUCUGGAAGUCUGGAACAGCAAAAUAGAACUCUGUUUACUGGUGUAACCUUGGUUUUAUGAGAAGUGGAAGACCUCCAGAGUCUCUGGUCACUCUGACUGAGAGAAAGACUUCAGAGUCCGACUGUGAUGUGAGUGGAAUCUAUAUAGCUUCUGACACGUCACUGGUCAGGGUCACGGGUGACACAACAAUGCGGAAUUCUCUAUAUGACGCGCCAAGUCAAGACUCCUUCCACUAUGUUCGACCAUUUCUGGUGGUCUUCCACUAUUCAUCGAAACAAGGUUACAUCAGUAACCAGUGCUACAUGUCAUGGAAAAACAUCAUGGGAAUUAUAAAAUAAAAAAAACAAACUUCAUAAAUGUAACUGAAAAUAAUUCAGUUCAUAACACAAUGAAUUUCUUUUUAAUAUUCCUUAAUUAUGAAUUUUGUUUGUAUAUAUAACUCAAAGGCCUCUAUUGAAUGAAAUCAGUCAAUUCCGUGUGCUUUUUGUUUGAUCCCAACAGGUUGUUGCAGCAGCAAGAAAUUUAUUAUGUACUCAAUGUGUUGUACAAUGUGGUGACUAAUUACAGAACCAUUAUUAUAUGAAUUGAGUUACUCUGCACUUGUACCAGCCUAUCGUUGGCAAAUUUAACAGGGGUUAAAACAUGCUACUCACAUGGUUUAACUGGGGUAACUUGAUCAGGUCACUUUUAUAUAGUCACAUAGUCAUGACAAAAAGGCAUAUGAGGGUUUUGACAUGAGGGUGUCAAUGAUUUUUUUUUUUUUGCCUGAACUAUUGCAUUCAAAAACAGAGAAACACUGAGUGUUGUGUGUUAUGCUUUAUUGAGUGAGUGGGAGAGGUGGUCUGACUGUAGAAAAAGAUAGCAAGUUCUCUGGUCUAAGCUCCUCAAUACAAGUUAUACAAACACAAGUUUACCUACCGAUAUUCAAAGCCAGGGCUCUUAAAUGUGGGUUUACCAAGGAUAGAUAAAGAACUUUUUAUUCUUUCAAAUCAAAUGUAGGUACAUAAACCAAAUAAUUAAA